GACGUAGGGCGCGAGCGUUGUCCGGAUUUAUUGGGCGUAAAGAGCUCGUAGGCGGCUUGUCGCGUCGAAUGUGAAAUCUCAGGGCUCAACUCUGACAUUGCAUUCGAUACGGGCAGGCUCGAGUUCGGUAGGGGAGACUGGAAUUCCUGGUGUAGCGGUGAAAUGCGCAGAUAUCAGGAGGAACACCGGUGGCGAAGGCGACUACCUGGCCUGUUCUUGACGCUGAGGCGCGAAAGCUAGGGGAGCAAACGGG
Molecule: ribosomal RNA, 253 nt
Filed under: uncultured bacterium
Lineage: Bacteria
Description: partial 16S ribosomal RNA
Rfam family: Bacterial small subunit ribosomal RNA
Source: RNAcentral